Molecule: RNA transcript, 2038 nt
Organism: Motacilla alba alba
Lineage: Eukaryota; Metazoa; Chordata; Aves; Passeriformes; Motacillidae
Gene: ZFYVE21
Gene name: zinc finger FYVE-type containing 21
Exons: 8
Source: RefSeq, a predicted model, not a curated record
GACAGGCGGACACACGGACAGAGGGACGGACGCGGCGCGGCGCCGCCACAGGGCCCUCACGAAUCCCCCGCCGCCCGCGCAGCCAAUCAGCGAGCGGCCUGCCCGCCGCAGCCAAUCAAAGCUCGCUACAGUGACUGCCCCGGCGGCACAGCCAAUGGCAGAGCGCCGCUCCUUCCCCUCCCGCUGGGCCGGCCGGGAGCGGCGGGGCCGCGCUGCCUCAGAGCCUCGGGCGGGCGCUGCGGCAGCCACCGCGGGCUCUCUGCGGAGCCGCCCCUCGCGGCUCGGUGUGCCGCUUCCUGGAUCUGGGCUCGGUGUGCCGCUUCCUGGAUCUCGGCGACGCGGCGGUGGCGCCCGCGCCCUUCGCUUCCGGGUUGCUGGGCACGAAGGAGGCGGGACUAGCUCCCCAAGGGACACGGGAUUGGCUGGCAAACCCCGAGCGCGUGGGCGGGGCCGGAGAGUCGCCGAUUCCCAUUGGUUGGUUGCCGUGCCGGUCGCGCAGAGCCGCGCGGCCAUUGGGCGGCGGCGGCGGCCGUCCCGCGGCGGCGGCGGCGCGCGGGGGAAGAUGUCGGGCGGCGACGCGAAGAAGCUGGUGCGCUCGCCCAGCGGGCUGCGCAUGGUGCCCGAGCACCGCGCCGCCCGCAGCCCCUUCGGCCUGGACGAGCCGCCCUGGGUGCCCGACAAGGAGUGCCCAAGAUGUAUGCAGUGUGAUACAAAAUUUGACUUCAUUACUAGAAAGCAUCACUGCCGAAGGUGUGGGAAGUGUUUCUGUGACAAGUGCUGCAGUAAAAAAGUGCCUCUGCCUCGCAUGUGCUUCGUGGACCCCGUGCGGCAGUGCGCGGAGUGCGCCCUGGUCUCGCAGAAGGAGACGGAGUUCUACGACAAGCAGCUCAAAGUGCUCAUGAAUGGUGCUACAUUCUUUGUAACUCUGGGAACAUCUGAUAAAUCUGAGCUCAUGGUUUGUCGACUUUCCAACAACCAGAGAUACCUGAUUUUGGAUGGAGACAGCCAUUAUGAAAUUGAAAUUAUACAGAUUUCAACUGUUCAGAUACUUACAGAGGGAUUUACUCCUGGAGAUUUUAGAUUAUUUCAGGAUGAACCUGAAUAUGAAUUGACUGAAAUGAGAACAAACAAGGAGGCAACACUCGUGCCAUAGGAAUGAUCCUGCAGUACAAGGUACCGGGGUCGGAGGAGGUGACGCAGAUGAAGUUUACUGCCGGCGAAGACUUCAGCUGUAACAAGAAGCUGUCAGCAGCCUGGCUGGCAGCUAUGCAUAAGGCAACAAAACUUCUCUAUGAAUCUCGGGACCAGUGAGAACUGCAGAUGUGGCCUCCUGAGGGCACACACAGACACCAGCCUCCACAGACCUGCCUCUCACUUUGUGCUGAUUUGACAGCUGGAAAUAUUUGCUGUUCUUGACUCUCUCUCAUUCCAGCGUGGUUCAUUAUGUAAGAACUGGCAAAGGCAAUGUGAGUAUUUUUUUGAACCAUGAGUAUUCACGGUAGUGUGCAAUAUGUAUACAGUUAAUGCUUUAAACAGCCUCACCUUUUAAGACUUUGUAUAUUUUGUUAAGCCUUUACUGGCACUUAAUAUGAAAGUGACCUGCACUACAGCUAAUGUACAGCACAACUUUUAUAGUAACCAUUAUAUAUACUGUUUGCUACAGGAAGCAAACAAAUGUGUAUGUCUCUUCUGCAGAGAAUAGCUUUUGGGUAUAGAUCUCAGGUUUUUCCCUCUAUCCAAAUGUUUAAAAUCAAUGUACAAAAAAAAAUCUGCCUUAGAUAUGAUUUUAUAGAGAUCACGUGAGUUUUUUUAAACAUUUAAUUUUAAACAUCUAAUUUUUUCACCAAAUACCACCAAAUUUGACUUAUAUGAACUUGACCGUGAAACUUCACUUGUGUAAUAAGCUUCCAGAAUAAUUUUUAGUUUUGUAUUUUCUUUUUUGGUAACGAGCUUUUGUUAAUCUAACUGUAAUGCUAUCUGAAAUUGUAUACAAUUUAAUGUACAAAUAUGAAUAAAUUAAUUCACUUAUUUAAAAAAA